Molecule: long non-coding RNA, 501 nt
Organism: Diorhabda carinulata
Lineage: Eukaryota; Metazoa; Arthropoda; Insecta; Coleoptera; Chrysomelidae
Exons: 3
Source: RefSeq, a predicted model, not a curated record
CGGCGUGGGAUUUUUUUGGAAAUUCGCGAAAUUUCGCCACCCGCGCUCCCCGGGCGUGGAAAAUUCGAUCGGCGGAACGGUCUAAAGGAGACGCGCAGCUUUUGCUCAUCAGUCCGAUUUGUGUUGUGAAACAAACAAGGAAUCGUCACAAUGCCUCAGCCGAACGAAGGAACUAGUUUGCUCACUACCUACAUGAUUCUUAUUCUCCUUCUUAUAGCAUUAUGGGUCCUGUAUUCCGGUCUCUUAUAGAAAAUAUGUUAAACAUACUCUCAACACAAUUUAAUAUUCCACAAAUUUAGUUCGACGCAUCUUGUCUCACAUCAUCACUUUCAAUAUGUAGGAAAAUAACACCCCAAAGGAUGUCGUCGGUUUUGUCGGUAUUUCCAUCCCUUGCUAAUUAACGCGAGGCAAUUUAUUUAUAUUUUUAUAAUUGUUAAAAAUUCUAUUUUAGACUAGAUCAUAUUUUUAUGGUUAAGUGUAAAUAAAAUUUGUUGGUUUUUA